AAUGCGCACUGCUGAAGAGUUU
This 22-nucleotide microRNA is filed under the name Schistosoma japonicum. Its description in RNAcentral is "miRNA-3008". The record is from RNAcentral. Lineage: Eukaryota; Metazoa; Platyhelminthes; Trematoda; Strigeidida; Schistosomatidae.